RNAcentral lists this ribosomal RNA (461 nucleotides) under uncultured bacterium. Its description in RNAcentral is "partial 16S ribosomal RNA". It matches the Rfam family "Bacterial small subunit ribosomal RNA", at positions 338 to 795 of the family's 1533-position model. The record is from RNAcentral.
CCUACGGGAGGCAGCAGUGAGGAAUAUUGGUCAAUGGGCGGGAGCCUGAACCAGCCAAGUCGCGUGAGGGAAGACGGUCCUAUGGAUUGUACACCUCUUUAGGCGGGGAGCAAUGCCGGGCCCGCGUGCCAGGAGGGAGAGUACCCGCAGAAUAAGCCACGGCUAACUACGUGCCAGCAGCCGCGGUAAUACGUAGGUGGCAAGCGUUAUCCGGAUUUACUGGGUGUAAAGGGCGUGUUGGCGGGACUGCCAGUCAGAUGUGAAUACCACGGGCUCAACCUGUGGCCUGCAUUUGAAACUGGAGUUCGUGAGUACGGGAGAGGCAGACGGAAUUCCGAGUGUAGCGGUGAAAUGCGUAGAUAUUAGGAGGAACACCAGUGGCGAAGGCGGUCUGCUGGACAGCAACUGACGCUGAGGCGCGAAAGCGUGGGGAGCAAACAGGAUUAGAUACCCGUGUAGUC